This 440-nucleotide ribosomal RNA is filed under the name uncultured bacterium. Its description in RNAcentral is "partial 16S ribosomal RNA". It matches the Rfam family "Bacterial small subunit ribosomal RNA", at positions 338 to 795 of the family's 1533-position model. The record is from RNAcentral.
CCUACGGGGGGCAGCAGUGGGGAAUAUUGCACAAUGGGGGAAACCCUGAUGCAGCGACGCCGCGUGAAGGAAGAAGUAUUUCGGUAUGUAAACUUCUAUUAGCAGGGAAGAAAAUGACGGUACCUGACUAAGAAUCCCCGGCUAACUACGUGCCAGCAGCCGCGGGAAUACGUAGGGGGCAAGCGUUAUCCGGAUUUACUGGGUGUAAAGGGAGCGUAGGCGGUUUAGCAAGUCAGAAGUGAAAGCCCGGGGGUCAACUCCGGGACUGCUUUUGAAACUGUUGAACUAGAUUGCAGGAGAGGUGAGUGGAAUUCCUGGGGUAGCGGUGAAAUGCGUAGAUAUUAGGAGGAACACCAGUGGCGAAGGCGGCUUACUGGACUGUAAAUGACGCUGAGGCUCGAAAGCGUGGGGAGCAAACAGGAUUAGAUACCCGAGUAGUC